GUAGCUGCUGAGGCGUCAAACAUGAUUGGGUUAAAUAUACAUUGUAAAGAUCCCAGCGUGUAAGGGAGAGAGUCCAGAUCAAACGCUGACGGAUCACGUGGUUCGUAAUCACAAAACCGAAACCUUUAAGUAGAUUUGGACAUAGAAAUCCCCCUGGAGUGGUCAUGUCGAGAUCAGUAAGUCAAUUUUAGAUGUUUUAAUGAGCUAAUUAUGAUGCACAAAAGAGCUGAGACAUCUGAGUUUAUUGCAACCCCAAUCUAGAUGAUUGACACAGAGGACAACAGUGAUUCUGAGUGAGUUCAGACUAUUGUCGUCAUAGUUAUUUUCAUGAUAGAGACAUUUUGGGUUUUCAUUGAUCUGCUCAUGGUCGUUCUCUCCUUAUGAUUCUCGCUGACUCAUACCGCGAUGCUGCUUACCGUAACUACUGUAACCUCACAGUGCCUCAUGUUGUGGUUUUACACAGGGGGUGUUGUUCAUGUAACACCUGUAAACCCCGGGCUCGUCUUCCCAGCACCUACACAGCUCAGCCGGUUUACGGUACGCGUGACACUGCGGAGGUCGCGCGAAGGGAAAGGAGAGGAGGCUCGAUGAGUCUCCUUCUUCCUGUCUCACUGACAAGCAUUUGAUUGGGAUCCUCCAGAGAAGCUUUGCAACAACAGGUGGGUCAAAGAGGAUCAAUUAAACUGGAGCAUCUGUCUUUAUAAUUAUCCUUCACACAACUCAAUCCUACUGCCACAAACAGGAUUUCUUUAUUUUACAAAGAAAAUAACUCAAUAACUCAUUAACUGCCACAAAAGUGAACACACCUCUAAGUGAAAAUGUCAAAAUUGGGCCCAAUUAGCCAUUUUAUCUCCCAGUGUCAUGUAACGUGUUAUUGUUACAGUCUCAGGUGUGGUAUAUUUGGUGUUAAUGCUCUCACUCUCUCAUAGAGCAGCAUCAUAGUUUAUGUCUGGGAAAUGGACGUAUAAGACGUAUAAGUGUUAACUGGGGUCAGUUAAUUGAGGGAACCAUGAAUUCCAACAUGUACUGUGACACUGAAGCAGAGCAUCAUAGACUGUGACGCUGGGCUUCCAACAUUAUCACGACCCCCCCAAACACAUACCUGAGAUGAGCGCUGCCUUGCUAAAGAGGUCAAGGGUAAGAUAAUGCACUGGCCAAGCAUGUCUCCAGACCUAAACCCUAUUGAGCAUCUAUGCGUCAAACGGAAGGUGGAGGUGCACAAGCUGUCUUGCAUCCAGCUCAAUGAUGUCAUCAUGGAGGAGUGGAAGAGGACUCUGGUGAACACGGAGUAAAGGCAGUGCUGGAAAAUAAAGGUGGCCACACAGAUUAUUGACA
This 1335-nucleotide long non-coding RNA is filed under the name Betta splendens (Siamese fighting fish). RNAcentral's name for it is "lncRNA (ENSBSLG00000008348.1)". Lineage: Eukaryota; Metazoa; Chordata; Actinopteri; Anabantiformes; Osphronemidae. The record is from RNAcentral.